GACGAACGCUGGCGGCGUGCUUAACACAUGCAAGUCGAACGGAAAGGCCCUGCUUUUGUGGGGUGCUCGAGUGGCGAACGGGUGAGUAACACGUGAGUAACCUGCCCUUGACUUUGGGAUAACUUCAGGAAACUGGGGCUAAUACCGGAUAGGAGCUCCUGCUGCAUGGUGGGGGUUGGAAAGUUUCGGCGGUUGGGGAUGGACUCGCGGCUUAUCAGCUUGUUGGUGGGGUAGUGGCUUACCAAGGCUUUGACGGGUAGCCGGCCUGAGAGGGUGACCGGCCACAUUGGGACUGAGAAACGGCCCAGACUCCUACGGGAGGCAGCAGUGGGGAAUAUUGCACAAUGGGCGGAAGCCUGAUGCAGCAACGCCGCGUGCGGGAUGACGGCCUUCGGGUUGUAAACCGCUUUCGCCUGUGACGAAGCGUGAGUGACGGUAAUGGGUAAAGAAGCACCGGCUAACUACGUG
Molecule: ribosomal RNA, 468 nt
Filed under: uncultured bacterium
Lineage: Bacteria
Description: partial 16S ribosomal RNA
Rfam family: Bacterial small subunit ribosomal RNA
Source: RNAcentral